GUCACACGAUUAAUUUAGAUUCAGUUUACAUGGGAUCAAUUCAUUAUAAAUUGCUAACCUAAGCAUCUUCUAAAACAUAUCAUUUCCUUUAUUUAAUAAGCAAUUGUAGUUGCAUCGCAUCAUGCAUGUUACUAAUGAGAACUUAUUCAAUGUAGAGUGUCAACUCACAGUACUAGAAGGAUUUUUCUAACAGAUACCCCGUCAAAAUUAGUAUAUCAAAAUGAUUGUUUUUUAAUAGGUGCUCACGUCAAAUUUUGUUAAGAAUUUUUGUAAUUAGAUCCAAAUUAUAUUUAACUUAUCAUAUGAAUACAGGCACACAAUUAAGUUGUGUUAAAAUUAUAAUAUCUACGCGGGGGGGUAGGGUUUGGGGUUGUCCAAAAAAAUUAGAGGGUUGACAUUAUUGAAGAGUAGCCAAUUCAAGAAAUUAAAUAAUAAGCAUGCGCCACCACUAUUAUAUCACGUGCUAGCGGGGCCCACUGUUUUACGGCCAGUGAAUACUUACUAGUAGUAAUUGAAUAUACUACCUAUAAAUAAAUAGCAUCUGCUUUGCCUGAUAUCCGAUCACUUUAACCAAAUUCUAUUAGCUGCAGCAUCGUCUGCCGAACGCCCUGGCACACACAUAAUUCUGGUCCUAGGAUAUGACGACAAUACCCAAAACAGCGGCAUAUAUCGGAGCACAACAAGGCCAGCCGGCCGCCCGCCCGCCACGGCACAUACGUGAAGUGGUAUGAGUUACAUGACAUCAUCCACACAAAGGAAUUAAUACACGUACCAGCAGAACGAAGAAGGAAGCGAAAGCAAUGGUCAAAAAUCUGCCGAUGUAGGCAUCACAAAGAUACGCACCAACCAGGGGUAAGAAACUUGUUGCCCCCGACCAUAUGUUGAUUACGUUUGAAGCUGAAACUUGGUCCAUGUGAAAUUGUGUUAACAAGAACACUGUAAAAUUUGCCAACAAUCCUACGUUUGCCAGCCUCUCAAACGUCUCAUUUCCU
Long non-coding RNA from Coffea arabica (coffee), 992 nucleotides. RefSeq lists it as uncharacterized. NCBI's taxonomy places the organism in Eukaryota, Viridiplantae, Streptophyta, Magnoliopsida, Gentianales, Rubiaceae. The record is from RefSeq and is a predicted model, not a curated record.